GACGAACGCUGGCGGCAUGCCUAAUACAUGCAAGUUGAACGAUGAUAUUCUCUGCUUGCAGAGAAUUGAAGAGUAGCGAACGGGUGAGUAGCACGUGGGGAACCUGCCCAUGAGAGGGGGAUAACAUUCGGAAACGGAUGCUAAUACCGCAUAAUGCUUUGGACCGCCUGGUCCAGAGACGAAAGACGGCUUUUGCUGUCACUCAUGGAUGGCCCCGCGCCGUAUUAGCUAGUUGGUGAGGUAAUGGCUCACCAAAGCUGUGAUACGUAGCCGACCUGAGAGGGUGAUCGGCCACACUGGGACUGAGACACGGCCCAGACUCCUACGGGAGGCAGCAGUAGGGAAUCUUCCACAAUGGGCGAAAGCCUGAUGGAGCAAUGCCGCGUGAAUGAAGAAGGUCUUCGGAUCGUAAAGUUCUGUUAUUAGAGAAGAACAAGUCAAGGAGUAACUGUCUUGACUUUGACGGUACCUAACCAGAAAGUCACGGCUAACUACGUG
RNAcentral lists this ribosomal RNA (498 nucleotides) under uncultured bacterium. RNAcentral describes it as "partial 16S ribosomal RNA". It matches the Rfam family "Bacterial small subunit ribosomal RNA", at positions 28 to 507 of the family's 1533-position model. The record is from RNAcentral.